AACGCACGAGACCUGCGGACCUGCGGAAGGAUCAUUACCGAGUACCGGGUCCUCUGGGCCCUUACUCCCACCCUUUGUGUACCUUACCUUUAUCUUCUUGUUGCCUUGGCGGGUUCGGGGGAAACCCCAGGGCCUCACGGCCCGCCCGCCAGGGGGACAACCCUCAAAACUCUUUUGUUGACCGGGUCAGUCUGAGAAAACAAAACAAAUGAAUUAAAACUUUUAACAAUGGAUCUCUAG
RNAcentral lists this unclassified non-coding RNA (240 nucleotides) under soil metagenome. RNAcentral's name for it is "partial contains 5.8S ribosomal RNA, internal transcribed spacer 2, and large subunit ribosomal RNA". The record is from RNAcentral.